RNAcentral lists this long non-coding RNA (320 nucleotides) under Ananas comosus (pineapple). RNAcentral's name for it is "long non-coding RNA (ACOM_LNC042390)". The record is from RNAcentral. Lineage: Eukaryota; Viridiplantae; Streptophyta; Magnoliopsida; Poales; Bromeliaceae.
AAUCAUAAAAGAAAAGUUAUUAUUGAAUAGCUUAUUUUGACAUCCAAACAGUCUCUCGAAAGGAGAAAAUAUUAUAGAUCUUGAAAAUUAGAGUCCGGCUGCUAUGCUAUCGAUAGCACCAAGCACUUGGUGCUAUCAAAUUUUCUACCGUUAGAUUAACCCCUUUGAUUAUUUUUACUUGUUAGAUUAUACUAUUCAACCAACCACCCACUCAACCCUAGAGGGCCCACAUCAUCUUAGCCGCACAUUUCUCAAUUCAAGGGCUGAAAAUCUAAUAACACUAAUUGCUUGGUGUUAUUGAUAGUAUUCCAGCUUAGUUC